Molecule: long non-coding RNA, 1310 nt
Organism: Eriocheir sinensis (Chinese mitten crab)
Lineage: Eukaryota; Metazoa; Arthropoda; Malacostraca; Decapoda; Varunidae
Exons: 3
Source: RefSeq, a predicted model, not a curated record
CUUUUGGAAACAUUAGCUACGCCCGUUUUCAAGAAGAUAAAACUUAUAACUACAGAAGACCUACAGAGCUUGAAAAUGAGAAAGACAAAGUAUCUCUACCAACGAUGAAAAAUAUUUGGUUUAAUGAUUCAGGUUUUAUGAAUUAUCAGGUCUGGCAAGAAGAUAAAACUAAAACCUACAGAAAACCUAGAGAGCUUGAAAAUAAUUAAAACAGAAAGUAUCUCUACCUUCGAUGGAAAAUAUUUGGUUUAAUGAUUCAGGUUUUAUGAAUUAUCAGGUCUGGCAAGAAGAUAAAACUAAAACCUACAGAAAACCUAGAGAGCUUGAAAAUAAUUAAAACAGAAAGUAUCUCUACCUUCGAUGAAAAAUAUUUGGUUUAAUGAUUCAGGUUUUAUGAAUUAUCAGGUCUGGCAAGUUUCCAAACCCAUUAUAAAUCAAAGCUUCCAUAUUAGAAGUAAAAGAAAUUAUACACACGUCUCGUUCUCUUUAAGUGGAGCAGCGUGUGGUGGGCUUUUUUGGUGAUAUUUUUUUCCCCAUGAACCAUUCCCUCGCUGAAGAAAAAGGAAAUAAGGUUGAUAAAACAGUUCCCUCUAUUUAGACUUAAGACUUGGGCCACGUUUCCCGCGGGGCUGGUCGACUCAGCUCAUUUAACAAGCCCCGCUGUUCCCUAUCCACAAAUAAGGGUAUUAUUGUUUUCCUCAUCGUUUCCUUCCUCCCUCACCCCCUUGAGAGACGUUCCCUUGAGAUACUGCGUUUGCCGGCUUAUAAAACGACCCAGAAACAGAGGAACAGAAGAAAACAACCCAACUCUCAGGCAACAAUACAAUCUACAGGUUUUCCUUCCCGAGACAGACUUUCCCCUUGAGAUACUAUUUGUCGAUGUAUAAGACGCACCGAACACAACAAAAAUAGCCCAGGAGUCAGGUAACAAUAUUAAUCUAAACGUGCUCUCCCUCAAUAUGGACUUUCCUUUGAGAUAUUACAUUUGCCGGUGUACUAACCGCCCCAAAAUCAACAUAAAUAGCCUAUUAGUCGAGGUAACAAUAUAUCUAAACGUGCUCCCUCCCAAAAUGGACGUUCCCCCAAAUCAACAAAAAAUAGCCUAUUAGUCGAGGUAACAAUAUAAAUCUAAACGUGCUCCCUCCCAAAAUGGACGUUCCCCCAAAUCAACAAAAAUAGCCUAUUAGUCGAGGUAACAAUAUAUAUCUAAACGUGUUCCCUCCCAAUAUGGACGUUCCCUUGAGAUACUGCAAUUCCCAGUGUAUAAGACGCACCAAACACAAUAAAAAUAGCCCAGGAGUCAGGUAACA